CCCACCUCGGUCCAGCGCAAGUCGAGAGAGAGAGAGGUAGAGAGCGGGAGGAGAACCCUAGCACGUAUGAGGCUUCCGCGGACCUCGCGCGCCAGGGGCGGCGGAUGUCGAUGGCGGCGGACAGCGUGGAGGGACGCGUUGCUGGGAUCAGCGACGACACCGUCGAGGGAGGAGAGCGCUACAUCUGGUCGGACGUGUUCGACCGGCUCGUCGCCGUCGGCCACGUGGAGGAGGCGUCCCGCUCCGACUUCCAGGCAUACUUCGCCAAGCUUCCCGACAGUUAUCAUCAGUAUGUGGAUGCCGGGAAAGCAGAGUAUGUGUUAAUCCAUCAGAAUGUUUUGGCAGAAGCAAAGACCAAUAGAUCUCGCCCAGCAUUCCAUGCCCGCCACCUCAGGUUUGAAGAGAUAAAUAAUAUGGACACGGCAACUAACUCUGAUGCACCCAAACAAGGGGAUGAUGCUGGAGAUGCUCUUGCUAUCAGGACAUGGACAUCGCGUAGACAAAUUCAUGAGAUAGUCUUAUCUUCUAUUAAAAAGCGUGGGCUCCUUGAUAAGCUGUCUACAUUGCUUUCGCGGAUUGGACUGAGCAUCAGAGAAGCACAUGUUUUCUCAACAAGUGAUGACUAUUCACUUAAUGCUUUUGUAGUUGAUGGUUGGCCUGUUGAGGAUACGAUGAGAUUGAAUAAGGCGCUAGAGGCAUCAAUUUCAAGAAACAUGGUUUCACCGAUUGGCUCUGAGUCCUUGAGUGUGCAACCAUUCAUAGCAGAGGAUUGUUUAUCGGAUAUGGACAAAACACUUCUGGACAUAGCAGAAAAUCUUGCUUCUGGAUCACGUGGAGAUACGUUACGUGGCACUUAUGGUGGUGAGGAGGUUUUUGUUAAAUUUGUAAGCUCUGAGGAUCCGAGUCAGAUUGUUUCGAAAGAAUUUAAGCAAGAAAUUCUCAUGCUAAGGGAAGUUGAUCAUGCCAAUAUUAUUCGAUUGAUUGGUUCAUGCACAAAGGAACCUCAGUUUUGCAUGAUGACAGAAUACAUGUCUGGAGGAAGCCUAUUUGACUUCUUGAAGAAUGAGCAUAAUGUCCUGGAUCUCCCAAUGAUUCUGAAGUUUGCACUUGACAUAUGCCGAGGGAUGGCUUACUUGCAUCAGAAGGGCAUUAUUCAUAGGGAUUUAAAGUCUGCAAACCUUUUAAUAGAUAAAUAUCAGGUUGUGAAAGUGGCACAUUUCGGACUUUCUCGUUACCAGGAUCAAGAGGGUGUUAUGACUGCUGAAACUGGAACGUACAGAUGGAUGGCUCCUGAGGUUAUGAAUCAUCAGCAUUAUGGCCACGCAGCAGAUGUUUACAGUUUUGCUAUUGUACUUUGGGAGCUAAUGACACGCAAGGAUAUCAUUGCAAACUCAAAGAUGCUUACCAUCGCUGGUCACCACAGCUCAUGCCAUCAGGCACACUUCUAAGCCAACAUGAAGUGCGGCGUUCUAAGCGUCCCAAAGAAGCUAAGCUAUGACUAGCGCCGUUCUGAUUGCGAGAAGCUUUCAGAACUGUGAUAUCCCUAAUUCCAGUCAAUUGACGACGAAUUUCCAACACACUGUGAACAUACCGAGAUCUGUUCUCUCCAUGGUCCUUUAUGAGGGCAAUGCCUCAGCACAAUCGGAUUCUAGUGCAAUUGGGAGGUCAGACCAUUGCUGAGCAAGCGACAGUCCUUCCUCACAGGCUGCGAGCUCAGCCUCUAACGGAUCAUUGCACCAAGGCAGGAAACGGCAAGCUGCAAAGAUAACUUGGCCCAAAUGAUCCCGCAGAAUCAUGCCUGCACCAGCACUACCAUCUUCCUGCCUAAAGGAACCAUCCACAUUUAACUUUACCUUGCCAGGAUCUGGGGGACUUUAAAUAUUUCUUUGGUUCAUUCAGAUUCCAUAUGAUACCUUAACAACCCUCCAAGCAGCUGUAGAAGUGUUGAAGGGAAUGCGUCCACCGCUUCCAGAAAAUGCACAUCCCAGGCUAUUAACCCUGAUGCAGAGAUGUUGGGAUGCCUCCCCAUCUAAACGCCCAUCAUUCUCAGAUGCAAUUACUGAACUAGAAGAUAUUAAGGCGGAGGUUCAGGGAGCAACAUCAGGGCAGACGAGCCAGGGCGAAGAGAGGCCGGCCAAGACACAGAAGCUGGAUCCCUCCGAUCCUACUGCUUGACGGUUCCUCUAGUUUCCUGAUCGGUUGAGUUAGGAUCACUGACAUUAGAGAAAGUAGUAUCUCAUCUUCGGCCUCGAUCUGUCGGCGCUUCUCGGAGCCGGAUUUCUCGGUCUUGUUCUCAUUUUUCCUCACGGUCUUGGUCUCAUUUUUGCUUACAUAGAACGAAUCGGAAUGAUCUGCAUGUUGGGUUUGCAAGUUGCGGUUUGAUGUGUGGAUCCGGAUGAGAAUUUCACUGUCCAUCGAUCAAAAUGGUGGUGGAUGCGAGUGUUGAUUACAAUGUACAGUGACAUCGAGACAGUUACAUAACCAUUGCAUGUUCUUGGU
Molecule: RNA transcript, 2499 nt
Organism: Brachypodium distachyon (stiff brome)
Lineage: Eukaryota; Viridiplantae; Streptophyta; Magnoliopsida; Poales; Poaceae
Gene name: serine/threonine-protein kinase STY8
Exons: 15
Source: RefSeq, a predicted model, not a curated record